This is a long non-coding RNA of Schistocerca serialis cubense, 240 nucleotides long. RefSeq lists it as uncharacterized. The transcript is spliced from 3 exons. NCBI's taxonomy places the organism in Eukaryota, Metazoa, Arthropoda, Insecta, Orthoptera, Acrididae. The record is from RefSeq and is a predicted model, not a curated record.
AGCAAUCGUUGGAGCUGCAAACGGCAUGAAGUGGCCGCGGAGUUACAUUGACUGGCGGCAGCUGUUGUGUGCCCCACGUGACUCUCCCCACUGUCCGCUCUGGUCUGGUAGUGGGGGUAGCGUGCUCGCGCUGCUCCGUGCUCGCGCCUUGCUGGUCACAGCUUGCUCCGCGAGCACGAUGUUGUGAAGCCCUGUACUACAGCUUCAGGGACGAAUGUAGAAAGAAAUGGAAAAACCUGU